Molecule: ribosomal RNA, 117 nt
Filed under: Larimichthys crocea (large yellow croaker)
Lineage: Eukaryota; Metazoa; Chordata; Actinopteri; Sciaenidae
Source: RNAcentral
GCUUACGGCCAUACACCCUGAACAACGCCCGAUCUCGUCCGAUCUCGGAAGCUAAGCAGGUCGGGCAAGGUUAGUAUUGGAUGGGAGACGCCUGGGAAAUACCAGGUGCUGUAAGCU